UACCAGCACCCCGAGUGGUCGGGACGUUUAUUGGGCCUAAAGCAUCCGUAGCCGGUUCUACAAGUCUUCCGUUAAAUCCACCUGCUUAACAGAUGGGCUGCGGAAGAUACUAUAGAGCUAGGAGGCGGGAGAGGCAAGCGGUACUCGAUGGGUAGGGGUAAAAUCCGUUGAUCCAUUGAAGACCACCAGUGGCGAAGGCGGCUUGCCAGAACGCGCUCGACGGUGAGGGAUGAAAGCUGGGGGAGCUAACCGG
Molecule: ribosomal RNA, 253 nt
Filed under: uncultured bacterium
Lineage: Bacteria
Description: partial 16S ribosomal RNA
Rfam family: Archaeal small subunit ribosomal RNA
Source: RNAcentral